GUUUGGAAGGACUGACAUCUAUCAGAGUCCAAGGUUGGAGUUGGGGUGACCUCUGUCCCUGCUGAUGUGCUCAGAGUCAUACCUGGCAGCAUCAUUAGUGCCCACAUAGAUGAGCCAUAUGGGGUAGUGGUCAGAGGAAUGGAUGAGUCUCAGCAACUUUUCCUUAAUAUCUUGGACAUGGGCUCCAGAUCAGGCUCGACUGAAUGCAGCAUCUGAGAAACCAGGUGAAAAUGGCUUCCACUGCAUUGGGCCAACCAUCCUGAACAAAUGGACCAACUGGGGUACAGGGAGAAAAAACAAAACAUGCAACUGUCAUCUGAUGACUUGCCCCAUGUGAAGAAUCAGGUUAAAACGGAGAACACACCAUAAACAGUUGCCUAAUAAAAUUUGAGUAACCGGACACAGCAAUUAAAAUUAGAG
Molecule: long non-coding RNA, 420 nt
Organism: Mauremys mutica (yellowpond turtle)
Lineage: Eukaryota; Metazoa; Chordata; Testudines; Geoemydidae
Exons: 3
Source: RefSeq, a predicted model, not a curated record